RNAcentral lists this unclassified non-coding RNA (338 nucleotides) under Ramicandelaber sp. RNAcentral describes it as "partial internal transcribed spacer region". The stretch from base 1 to 46 matches the Rfam family "Eukaryotic small subunit ribosomal RNA", at positions 1786 to 1831 of the family's 1831-position model. The record is from RNAcentral. Lineage: Eukaryota; Fungi; Kickxellomycota; Ramicandelaberales; Ramicandelaberaceae.
AAGUCGUAACAAGGUAUCCGUAGGUGAACCUGCGGAUGGAUCAUUACCAAUUUAUAUGUUAGUUUGUAUACCGCUGUCAAAGGGGGUUAUACACAACUACUAUGUAAACGUUGAACUAGAUCAAUUGGUGUGGAUUGCUUGGGAAUGGACGAAGCGAUGAGCCUCUUCCGGACAGGCAAGCCCCACACUGAUAACCUUUUUCAUAUCAUUUACUCGUAUAUACUACCACAACAACAAAAACAAAAGCUAUAAUAGGACUUAUUAAUGGCUGAGUGGGUAACAUCCUCGGCUUAAACAUAUAACUAUUACAACUUUCAGCAAUGGAUCUCUAGGCUCUC